GGACGAAAGGAAAAUGCGGACGAGGGACGAAAGGAAAACGUGCAAGUCGAGAACGACACAAAAAAAGAAGGGGGCCCGCUGAAAAGGCCGGCCGAAGGUCCCCAGGGUCGAAAGACCACGCGGGAAUGUUCGGCUAGCCCAGGCCGCCCCCGAAAGGAAAACGUGCAAGUCGGGAACGACACAAAAAAAGAAGGGGGCUCGCUGAAAAUGUCGGCCGAAGGUCCCCAGGGUCGAAAGACCACGCGGGAACAUUCGGCUAGCCCAGGCCGCUCCCGGAAGGAAAACGUGCAAUAAGUAAGAACGCGAAAGUGAUACAUUGCAACGAAAAACGGACGGACGACGGGCGACGGACGACGGGCGACGGGCGACGGACGACGGACGGACGACGGGCGACGGACGGACGAAAGGAAAACGCGGACGACGGACGGACGGACAACGGACGAAAGGAAAAUGCGGACGAGGGACGAAAGGAAAACGGACGAAAGGAAAACGCGGACGACGGACGGACGGACAACGGACGAAAGGAAAAUGCGGACGAGGGACGAAAGGAAAACGUGCAAGUCGAGAACGACACAAAAAAAGAAGGGGGCCCGCUGAAAAGGCCGGCCGAAGGUCCCCAGGGUCGAAAGACCACGCGGGAACAUUCGGCUAGCCCAGGCCGCUCCCGAAAGGAAAACGUGCAAUAAGUAAGAACGCGAAAGCGAUACAUUGCAACGAAAAAUGAGUUUAAGCAUCGAAAAAAAGACGUGAGCGGGCACGGGAGGAAACGCGGCGUGAGCGGGCGAACGAAGAAACACCCAGAAGGGAGGCGCCAAGCAGGGUACGCAGUAGCCUCGGCGGCCGAACGAAGAAGGGCAGAAGGGCCGAAGACGCCCACGGAC
Molecule: long non-coding RNA, 881 nt
Filed under: Zostera marina
Lineage: Eukaryota; Viridiplantae; Streptophyta; Magnoliopsida; Alismatales; Zosteraceae
Description: long non-coding RNA (ZMAR_LNC001207)
Source: RNAcentral